Long non-coding RNA from Pseudophryne corroboree (corroboree frog), 1460 nucleotides. RefSeq lists it as uncharacterized. The transcript has 3 exons. The record is from RefSeq and is a predicted model, not a curated record. Lineage: Eukaryota; Metazoa; Chordata; Amphibia; Anura; Myobatrachidae.
ACAGUGAAGCGCACGUCACGUCUGCUACAUCCACUUCCGCCGGAUAGACGUGUGCGUUCCACUGGCAAUGGAACGCACAAUACUUCCGGUAACGCGACUAUCAGCCGCUAUCGGUUGUUCUUUUGGUUUUAAAUGGUUGUGAUUGUGUUCACAUGUUGUGUAAUUAGUUGAUGUUAUAGGACAUUCGAUUGGCUGCACAUGUAUCCUUGAUUACACAUGUUAAACACUUGAAUACCAGUGUUUUUUGUUAUUUCCUGUUGGAUGAUUGAUGGGCGGGGUUUGUGAUAUGCCUCUGCUAUAAAAGUGCUCCAGGGUUCAUUGUGUGUCAUGGGCUGCUGGGUGAGAACCUGCUGUAAUCUUGUUAGUCUUGAAAAAGGCUCAGAUGGAGCCGAAACGUCGACACCUUUUGCUGACAUGCUGUUAACUGUCUCUAUGUGAGACACACCAAUAAAGUUUUCAUCAUCAAGGAAGUGAUAUGUCUCUGGAUCAAGAUGCAGACUUCAUCACCAGCCUACUAGAAAUGUACCAUGGCCAUGAAUGUCUGUGGAAGAUCAAAACCAAGGGGUAUUCGGAUAAAGUGCUGUGGAAUGUGGCCUUGGAGGAGCUAGUGGAGUACUGUAGGCUCUUUGUGUCCGGUGCUGACAAGAACUGGGUAAAGAAAGAGAUACAGAACCUGCGUACGGUGUUCCUUAAAGAACACAAAAAAUGGAACAGUCCAAAAGAUCUGGAGCAGGUUCCUUCCAGGUUUACAUGACCUGGCUCUGGUACUACCCCAUGCUGGAGUUUGACCUGGACAGGUUUUACCUCCCUCCCUUGAACUGCCACACCAGAGCCUGAAGAGGGUGAACUAUCUUUGUAUCUAGUGGAAGUCUGGAGAUUCCCACCACCCCAGACUUCAGUCUCCUGGAUACAGAAGAAUCCCAGACCCAAGAUACGACCCCUGAAGCACCAGCUACCCCUGAUACCUCUGCAGCACCAGCUCCUCCUCCGUGCCCCCGGAAGAGAACCCAAAGAAGAAAAAAAAAACACCAGCCAGGAGGGCGAAGACCUCAUCUUUGAGGAGAUCAAGGCAAGACUUGCCCAGCCCCCCGACCGCUACACAAGAUUUGGGGAAUUCUUGGCCUCUGCCAGGCGCAACCUGCCACCUGGGCAAGCGGAGCAGAUUGAGCGUCUAAAUUUAAAGAUGAUUAACAAGGCCCGAAAAGCGCAACUACACAACAAUGUCGUACUGUUCGACCGCCUUCCUCUCACUGCUCCUCCCACCCAACCCCAUCCUAUUCCGCCCACCUAACCCCAUCUCAUUCCGCCCACCCAACAACAGCCUACUCCCACCCACCUGCUCCUCAGCCAUAUACUCACUCUGCGAUGCUGGAGGCAGAGGAGGACUUGUCCCAGUUUGAAAUUUUGUAGGCAUUUUAUAAUUCCCAAUAAAUAUGGUGCGGUACAGGCUAUAUGGUGUU